RNAcentral lists this ribosomal RNA (484 nucleotides) under uncultured bacterium. Its description in RNAcentral is "partial 16S ribosomal RNA". It matches the Rfam family "Bacterial small subunit ribosomal RNA", at positions 30 to 507 of the family's 1533-position model. The record is from RNAcentral.
AUUGAACGCUGGCGGCAGGCCUAACACAUGCAAGUCGAGCGGAUGAAGGGAGCUUGCUCCUGGAUUCAGCGGCGGACGGGUGAGUAAUGCCUAGGAAUCUGCCUGGUAGUGGGGGAUAACGUCCGGAAACGGGCGCUAAUACCGCAUACGUCCUGAGGGAGAAAGUGGGGGAUCUUCGGACCUCACGCUAUCAGAUGAGCCUAGGUCGGAUUAGCUAGUUGGUGGGGUAAAGGCCUACCAAGGCGACGAUCCGUAACUGGUCUGAGAGGAUGAUCAGUCACACUGGAACUGAGACACGGUCCAGACUCCUACGGGAGGCAGCAGUGGGGAAUAUUGGACAAUGGGCGAAAGCCUGAUCCAGCCACGCCGCGUGUGUGAAGAAGGUCUUCGGAUUGUAAAGCACUUUAAGUUGGGAGGAAGGGCAGCAAGUUAAUACCUUGCUGUUUUGACGUUACCAACAGAAUAAGCACCGGCUAACUUCGUG